This 448-nucleotide ribosomal RNA is filed under the name uncultured bacterium. RNAcentral describes it as "bacterial SSU rRNA". It matches the Rfam family "Bacterial small subunit ribosomal RNA", at positions 29 to 521 of the family's 1533-position model. The record is from RNAcentral.
AACGAACGCUGGCGGCACGCCUAACACAUGCAAGUCGAACGAGACCUUCGGGUCUAGUGGCGCACGGGUGCGUAACGCGUGGGAAUCUGCCCUUAGGUUCGGAAUAACUUCGGGAAACUGAAGCUAAUACCGGAUGAUGACGUAAGUCCAAAGAUUUAUCGCCUAAGGAUGAGCCCGCGUUGGAUUAGCUAGUUGGUGAGGUAAAGGCUCACCAAGGCGACGAUCCAUAGCUGGUCUGAGAGGAUGAUCAGCCACACUGGGACUGAGACACGGCCCAGACUCCUACGGGAGGCAGCAGUGGGGAAUAUUGGACAAUGGGCGAAAGCCUGAUCCAGCAAUGCCGCGUGAGUGAUGAAGGCCUUAGGGUUGUAAAGCUCUUUUACCCGGGAUGAUAAUGACAGUACCGGGAGAAUAAGACUCCGGUUAACUCCGUGCCAGCAGCCGCGGU